AUGUUCAUGGAUCGCGAAGCGGCCGAGGUGUUGGAAACUUCUGCUGCACAACUACGAGCAACUAUGAUACAAGCUAGAAUCACUUACCCACUUGAGUUUCCUCUUGCGCUUGAUCCAAUGUUGGGAAAAAAAUUGCAUUCAAGGUCCUCUAGAAAUAAAUUAGCCAUGCCUACACAUUCAAGAGACCCCAUAUUCCAUGCAGGAUGA
RNAcentral lists this long non-coding RNA (207 nucleotides) under Vicia faba (fava bean). The record is from RNAcentral. Lineage: Eukaryota; Viridiplantae; Streptophyta; Magnoliopsida; Fabales; Fabaceae.